GUGGAUUAGAUACCCGGGUAGUCCACGCUGUAAACGAUGUCGAUUUGGAGUUUGUGCCAUUAUGAGCGUGGGUUCCGAAGCUAACGCGAUAAAUCGACCGCCUGGGGAGUACGGCCGCAAGGUUAAAACUCAAAUGAAUUGACGGGGGCCCGCACAAGCGGUGGAGCAUGUGGUUUAAUUCGAUGCAACGCGAAGAACCUUACCUGGCCUUGACAUGCUGAGAAGUCUGUAGAGAUACGGAUGUGCCUUCGGGAACUCAGACACAGGUGCUGCACGGUUGUCGCCAGCU
RNAcentral lists this ribosomal RNA (289 nucleotides) under uncultured bacterium. Its description in RNAcentral is "partial 16S ribosomal RNA". It matches the Rfam family "Bacterial small subunit ribosomal RNA", at positions 773 to 1060 of the family's 1533-position model. The record is from RNAcentral.